Molecule: long non-coding RNA, 1607 nt
Organism: Silurus meridionalis
Lineage: Eukaryota; Metazoa; Chordata; Actinopteri; Siluriformes; Siluridae
Exons: 3
Source: RefSeq, a predicted model, not a curated record
GAGACCGCUAUGCGUUGGGAGUUGAGCGGUUAUGAGGCUACACAGAACAUUAAGGUUAGCAGAGAUCAACAGCUGUAACAGGACAUCAGGAAAUGUUGGACAAGUAUGUGUGUACCUUGUAUUUUUUUGUAUCUCAGUUUGGAAAUCAUCAAUGCAAAUCCUCCAAUCAGCAGCAGAGCCCCACAGACACACACAGUGAUGAAUAAAGGGGAACCUGGAGACAGAAACAGAUAUAAAUCAGAACAGGAACAGACCAGACACACCAUCUACAUAUAUGUUUAUGAACAUCUCAUUUGUGGUCCUUCAGAUUUGCCAACAUUCCUCUUUUAUUUUAAUCCCCCUACCACACACACACACACACACACACACACACACACAAACAAAAUAGCAAAAGACACUUUUAAGAGCCACGUCUGUCUUGGACAAUGACAUCCCCAUAGCAAGCAGCACAAAAGCCCCAGUCAGGAGCAGUGCAACAGUUCCAUUUUGGAGCCAGAGAACCUCACAGUGGAGCUGCCAGAGAACCUCACAGUGGAGCUGCCAGAGAACCUCACAGUGGAGCUGCCAGAGAGCCUGACCGUGGAGCUGCCGGAGAGCACUGUUCUUACUUCACACUCUUCUCCUCCUCCACCUUCACUGCCAUGUUCUAGGUCUUUGCAACAGAGGAGGAAAAGGACAAAAACCUUAAUCGGUUUAAUGGCACCCUCUGCCACCACUGUCUCUCCUCCAUCUUUUAUCACCACAGAUCACUCCCUUCCACAGUCUUGUCCUCCAACCGCUCCCUCUUCCACCUCCCAGUCCUUGAGUCAGGAGGGGCCAUAUGUGAAGAAGAGAAGAAAAGGUAAUUUUUUUGGCAGUGGUGUACUUUAUUCCACACUAUUAAUAAAUUUGCUCUCAGAUAAAGCUGUACUAAAACUGGAAGGCUGAGACUGAAUUUUAAAUUCUUAUAAUAUUCAAUUAUUUUGGAUACAAAUGGGAGAAUGAUCUACCUCCUGGUGUGGAUGAAUAUAUGUAGUUAUUAGCAAGAGCCCAGAAUUUUGUGAUUGAAGUGGACACAAUGGAUUGUGGGACCUGGACAAUUCCGUGCUUUCUAAGUAAUUAACAUAUUUGUAAAAAAAAAAAAAAAAAAAAUAGUUCACAGGCAACCAGUGAAUUGACAAUAAAAUAGGGCUGAAAUGAUCAUAUAGGUUUCUAGUCAAGUACUCAAGCUGCUUCUGUACAUACACAUUUAGCUGAAGCGUAUUUAUUGAGCAGGACAUUGACCUUUAACCUUGACAUUUACCCAGUAAUGCGUUACAGUAGUAUUAGUAGUGAAUCGUGCAUGCGUAAAAUGAUUUUUCAGCAUUUGAAACAUAAACUUGUCAUAAUUUAGCAAUAUUUGUAUCAAUAAUUGUAAUCUUGAUGAUCUUGAUUUUUGUUCCGUGUUCCAAUAAUAUGUGCAAAACUUGGGAUGACACCUGGAAGCCUGCCAGCGAGUUCCAGCAUUUUUUGCCCGAGUCUCCAAAUACCAACCAGCUUUCAGAACUUCAAUAUUGAGCGUUUUUGUCGUUGUUCUUGUUGUUGUUUUUGUUUCUUGCUGUACUUAAUUAAAGUUUUUGUAUAGGGCA